ACCUCAAAUCGGGUAGGACUACCCGCUGAACUUAAGCAUAUCAAUAAGCGGAGGAAAAGAAACUAACAAGGAUUCCCCUAGUAACUGCGAGUGAAGAGGGAUAAGCUCAAAUUUAAAAUCUGGCGGUCUUUGGCCGUCCGAGUUGUAAUUUAGAGAAGUGUUACCCGCGCUGGACCGUGUACAAGUCUCCUCGAACGGAGCAUCAUAGAGGGUGAGAAUCCCGUACAUGACACGGACUGCCAGGGCUUUGUGGUGCGCUCUCGACGAGUCGAGUUGUUUGGGAAUGCAGCUCAAAAUGGGUGGUAAAUUCCAUCUAAAGCUAAAUACAGGCGAGAGACCGAUAGCGAACAAGUACCGUGAGGGAAAGAUGAAAAGAACUUUGGAAAGAGAGUUAAACAGUACGUGAAAUUGUUGAAAGGGAAACGCUUGAAGUCAGUCGCGUCCUUCAAAGAUCAACCUGGCCUUUUCGCUUGGUGCACUCUUUGGAGGACGGGUCAGCAUCAGUUUCGACCGGGAGAAAAAGUUGGUGGGGAGGUGGCACCUUCGGGUGUGUUAUAACCCNCUUGCAUAUAUCNUGGUUGGGACUGAGGAACGCGGCACGCCGAAAGGCCGGAC
This 615-nucleotide ribosomal RNA is filed under the name Cortinarius sp. BESC103s. RNAcentral describes it as "eukaryotic LSU rRNA". It matches the Rfam family "Eukaryotic large subunit ribosomal RNA", at positions 1 to 616 of the family's 3401-position model. The record is from RNAcentral. Lineage: Eukaryota; Fungi; Basidiomycota; Agaricomycetes; Agaricales; Cortinariaceae.